CUACGGGCCGCAGCAGUGGGGAAUAUUGCACAAUGGACGAAAGUCUGAUGCAGCAACGCCGCGUGGAGGAUGACACAUUUCGGUGCGUAAACUCCUUUUAUAUAGGAAGAUGAUGACGGUACUAUAUGAAUAAGCGCCGGCUAACUCCGUGCCAGCAGCCGCGGUAAUACGGAGGGCGCAAGCGUUACUCGGAAUCACUGGGCGUAAAGAGCGUGUAGGCGGAUUAAUAAGUUGGGAGUGAAAUCCUAUGGCUCAACCAUAGAACCGCUUCCAAAACUGUUAAUCUAGAGUAUGGGAGAGGUAGAUGGAAUUUCUGGUGUAGGGGUAAAAUCCGUAGAGAUCAGAAGGAAUACCGAUUGCGAAGGCGAUCUACUGGAACAUUACUGACGCUGAGACGCGAAAGCGUGGGGAGCAAACAGGAUUAGAUACCCCAGUAGUC
Molecule: ribosomal RNA, 439 nt
Filed under: uncultured bacterium
Lineage: Bacteria
Description: partial 16S ribosomal RNA
Rfam family: Bacterial small subunit ribosomal RNA
Source: RNAcentral